RNAcentral lists this ribosomal RNA (843 nucleotides) under uncultured bacterium. Its description in RNAcentral is "bacterial SSU rRNA". It matches the Rfam family "Bacterial small subunit ribosomal RNA", at positions 59 to 901 of the family's 1533-position model. The record is from RNAcentral.
CAGUCGAACGAAGCACUUAAACCUGAUUCUUCGGAUGAAGGUUUUUGUGACUGAGUGGCGGACGGGUGAGUAACGCGUGGGUAACCUGCCUCAUACAGGGGGGAUAACAGUUAGAAAUGACUGCUAAUACCGCAUAAGACCACGGAGCCGCAUGGCUCAGUGGGAAAAACUCCGGUGGUAUGAGAUGGACCCGCGUCUGAUUAGGUAGUUGGUGGGGUAACGGCCUACCAAGCCAACGAUCAGUAGCCGACCUGAGAGGGUGACCGGCCACAUUGGGACUGAGACACGGCCCAAACUCCUACGGGAGGCAGCAGUGGGGAAUAUUGCACAAUGGGGGAAACCCUGAUGCAGCGACGCCGCGUGAGCGAAGAAGUAUUUCGGUAUGUAAAGCUCUAUCAGCAGGGAAGAAAAUGACGGUACCUGACUAAGAAGCACCGGCUAAAUACGUGCCAGCAGCCGCGGUAAUACGUAUGGUGCAAGCGUUAUCCGGAUUUACUGGGUGUAAAGGGAGCGUAGACGGCUGUGUAAGUCUGAAGUGAAAGCCCGGGGCUCAACCCCGGGACUGCUUUGGAAACUAUGCAGCUAGAGUGUCGGAGAGGUAAGUGGAAUUCCCAGUGUAGCGGUGAAAUGCGUAGAUAUUGGGAGGAACACCAGUGGCGAAGGCGGCUUACUGGACGAUGACUGACGUUGAGGCUCGAAAGCGUGGGGAGCAAACAGGAUUAGAUACCCUGGUAGUCCACGCCGUANACGAUGACUACUAGGUGUCGGGGAGCNAAGCUCUUCGGUGCCGCAGCAAACGCAAUAAGUAGUCCACCUGGGGAGUACGUUCGCAAGAAUGAAACU